GACGAACGCUGGCGGCGUGCUUAACACAUGCAAGUCGAACGGAAAGGCCCCUUUGGGGGUACUCGAGUGGCGAACGGGUGAGUAACACGUGAGUAACCUGCCCUUGACUUCGGGAUAACUUCAGGAAACUGGGGCUAAUACCGGAUAGGAAUCCUUGCUGCAUGGUGGGGGUUGGAAAGCUUCGGCGGUUUUGGAUGGACUCGCGGCUUAUCAGCUUGUUGGUGGGGUAGUGGCUUACCAAGGCUUUGACGGGUAGCCGGCCUGAGAGGGCGACCGGCCACAUUGGGACUGAGAUACGGCCCAGACGCCUACGGGAGGCAGCAGGGGGGAAUAUUGCACAAUGGGCGGAAGCCGGAUGCAGCAACGCCGCGUGCGGGAGGACGGCCUUCGGGUUGGAAACCGCUUUCAGCAGGGGCGAAGCUUGUGGUGACGGUACCUGCAGAAGAAGCACCGGCUAACUACGUG
RNAcentral lists this ribosomal RNA (465 nucleotides) under uncultured bacterium. RNAcentral's name for it is "partial 16S ribosomal RNA". It matches the Rfam family "Bacterial small subunit ribosomal RNA", at positions 28 to 507 of the family's 1533-position model. The record is from RNAcentral.